RNAcentral lists this ribosomal RNA (494 nucleotides) under uncultured bacterium. RNAcentral's name for it is "partial 16S ribosomal RNA". It matches the Rfam family "Bacterial small subunit ribosomal RNA", at positions 28 to 504 of the family's 1533-position model. The record is from RNAcentral.
GAUGAACGCUGGCGGCGUGCCUAAUACAUGCAAGUCGAGCGAACAGACGAGGAGCUUGCUCCUCUGACGUUAGCGGCGGACGGGUGAGUAACACGUGGAUAACCUACCUAUAAGACUGGGAUAACUUCGGGAAACCGGAGCUAAUACCGGAUAAUAUAUUGAACCGCAUGGUUCAAUAGUGAAAGACGGUUUUGCUGUCACUUAUAGAUGGAUCCGCGCCGCAUUAGCUAGUUGGUAAGGUAACGGCUUACCAAGGCAACGAUGCGUAGCCGACCUGAGAGGGUGAUCGGCCACACUGGAAAGAAGACACGGUGCAGACUCCUACGGGCGGCAGCAGUAGGGAUUCUGCCGCAAUGGGAGAAAGGCUGACGGAGCACCGCCGCGUGAGUGAAGAAGGUCGUCGGAUAGUAAAACUCUGUUAUUAGGGAAGAACAAAUGUGUAAGCAACUAUGAACGUCUUGACGGUACCUCAUCAGAGAGCCACGGCUAACUAC